UGGGGAAUAUUUGACAAUGGGCGAAAGCCUGAUCCAGCCAUGCCGCGUGUGUGAAGAAGGUCUUCGGAUUGUAAAGCACUUUAAGUUGGGAGGAAGGGCAGUAAGCGAAUACCUUGCUGUUUUGACGUUACCGACAGAAUAAGCACCGUCUAACUCUGUGCCAGCAGCCGCGGUAAUACAGAGGGUGCAAGCGUUAAUCGGAAUUACUGGGCGUAAAGCGCGCGUAGGUGGUUCGUUAAGUUGAAUGUGAAAGCCCCGGGCUCAACCCGGGAACUGCAUCCAAAACUGGCGAGCUAGAGCAGUGCAGAGGGUGGUGGAAUUGCCUGUGUAGCGGAGAAAUGCGUAGAUAUAGGAAGGAACACCAGUGGCGAAGGCGACCACCUGGGCUCAUACUGACACUGAGGUGCGAAAGCGUGGGGAGCAAACAGG
This 429-nucleotide ribosomal RNA is filed under the name Pseudomonadota bacterium. RNAcentral describes it as "Proteobacteria bacterium partial 16S ribosomal RNA". It matches the Rfam family "Bacterial small subunit ribosomal RNA", at positions 355 to 776 of the family's 1533-position model. Lineage: Bacteria; Pseudomonadati; Pseudomonadota. The record is from RNAcentral.